RNAcentral lists this ribosomal RNA (253 nucleotides) under uncultured bacterium. Its description in RNAcentral is "partial 16S ribosomal RNA". It matches the Rfam family "Bacterial small subunit ribosomal RNA", at positions 524 to 776 of the family's 1533-position model. The record is from RNAcentral.
UACGAGGGGGGCGAGCGUUGUUCGGAAUUAUUGGGCGUAAAGGGUGCGUAGGCGGCCUGACAAGUCUGAUGUGAAAUCCCUGGGCUCAACCCAGGGCCUGCAUCGGAAACUGUCGGGCUUGAGUAUGGGAGAGGUGAGUGGAAUUUCCGGUGUAGCGGUGAAAUGCGUAGAUAUCGGAAGGUACACCUGUGGCGAAAGCGGCUCACUGGACCAUUACUGACGCUGAGGCACGAAAGCUAGGGGAGCAAACAGG